GGCGGCAUGCCUUACACAUGCAAGUCGAACGGCAGCACGGGGAGGGGCAACUCUCCCUGGUGGCGAGUGGCGAACGGGUGAGUAAUGCAUCGGAACGUGUCCUCUUGUGGGGGAUAACCAGUCGAAAGAUUGGCUAAUACCGCAUGAGAUCGAAAGAUGAAAGCGGGGGACCGCAAGGCCUCGCGCGAGAGGAGCGGCCGAUGCCGGAUUAGCUUGUUGGUGGGGUAAAAGCCUACCAAGGCGACGAUCCGUAGCUGGUCUGAGAGGACGACCAGCCACACUGGGACUGAGACACGGCCCAGACUCCUACGGGAGGCAGCAGUGGGGAAUUUUGGACAAUGGGCGCAAGCCUGAUCCAGCCAUGCCGCGUGUGUGAAGAAGGCCUUCGGGUUGUAAAGCACUUUCGGACGGAACGAAAUCGCGCGGGUUAACAGCGCGCGUGGAUGACGGUACCGUAAGAAGAAGCACCGGCUAACUACGUGCCAGCAGCCGCGGUAAUACGUAGGGUGCGAGCGUUAAUCGGAAUUACUGGGCGUAAAGGGUGCGCAGGCGGCCCCGCAAGUCAGGCGUGAAAUCCCCGGGCUUAACUUGGGAAUGGCGCUUGAAACUACGGGGCUGGAGUGUGGCAGAGGGAGGUGGAAUUCCACGUGUAGCGGUGAAAUGCGUAGAGAUGUGGAGGAACACCGAUGGCGAAGGCAGCCUCCUGGGCCAACACUGACGCUCAUGCACGAAAGCGUGGGGAGC
Molecule: ribosomal RNA, 744 nt
Filed under: uncultured soil bacterium
Lineage: Bacteria
Description: bacterial SSU rRNA
Rfam family: Bacterial small subunit ribosomal RNA
Source: RNAcentral